CAAUAGCGUAUAUUAAAGUUGUUGCAGUUAAAAGCUCGUAGUUGGAUUUCGGAACGGGCCAGUUGGUCCGCCGCAAGGUGAGUUACUGACUGGUCUGUUCUUCUUCGCAAAGACUGCGUGUGCUCUUUGUUGAGUGGGCGUAGGAUUUACGACGUUUACUUUGAAAAAUUAGAGUGUUCAAAGCAGGCUAUCGCUUGAAUACAUGAGCAUGGAAUAAUGGAAUAGGACUUUGGUCCUAUUUUGUUGGUUUCUAGGACCGAAGUAAUGAUUAAGAGGGACAAUUGGGGGCAUCAGUAUUCUGAAGCGAGAGGUGAAAUUCUUGGACCUUCGGAAGACUAACAACUGCGAAAGCAUUUGCCUAGGAUGUUCUCUUUAAUCAAGAACGAAAGUUGGGGGAUCGAAGAUGAUUAGAUACC
Molecule: ribosomal RNA, 416 nt
Filed under: uncultured eukaryote
Lineage: Eukaryota
Description: bacterial SSU rRNA
Rfam family: Eukaryotic small subunit ribosomal RNA
Source: RNAcentral